GCAGCCGCGGUAAUACGUAGGGGGCAAGCGUUAUCCGGAAUUAUUGGGCGUAAAGAGUGCGUAGGUGGUUACCUAAGCAGGGGGUGAAAGGCAAUGGCUCAACCAUUGUUAGCCCCCUGAACUGGGCUACUUGAGUGCAGGAGAGGAAAGCGGAAUUCCUAGUGUAGCGGUGAAAUGCGUAGAUAUUAGGAGGAACACCAGUGGCGAAGGCGGCUUUCUGGACUGUAACUGACACUGAGGCACGAAAGUGUGGGGAGCAAACAGGAUUAGAUACCCC
RNAcentral lists this ribosomal RNA (277 nucleotides) under uncultured Clostridia bacterium. RNAcentral's name for it is "partial 16S ribosomal RNA". It matches the Rfam family "Bacterial small subunit ribosomal RNA", at positions 511 to 788 of the family's 1533-position model. The record is from RNAcentral. Lineage: Bacteria; Bacillati; Bacillota; Clostridia.